GCCACAUGAUGACUAUAGACGCGGCGGCAGCCUUCGGGCCAUGGCGACCUGCUAUCUAUCACCCUUGUCUGAUGGCU
This is a small nucleolar RNA of Oryzias javanicus (javanese ricefish), 77 nucleotides long. Its record names the gene SNORD83. It matches the Rfam family "Small nucleolar RNA SNORD83". Rfam says of the family: U83 (SNORD83) and U84 (SNORD84) are members of the C/D class of snoRNA which contain the C (UGAUGA) and D (CUGA) box motifs. They act as guanine methylation guides but lack complementarity to ribosomal RNA. The record is from Ensembl. Lineage: Eukaryota; Metazoa; Chordata; Actinopteri; Beloniformes; Adrianichthyidae.